GGGCUUGACAUCCCACGAAUCCCUUCGAAAGAAGGGAGUGCCCGCAAGGGAGCGCGGAGACAGGUGGUGCAUGGCUGUCGUCAGCUCGUGUCGUGAGAUGUUGGGUUAAGUCCCGCAACGAGCGCAACCCUCACCUCUUGUUGCCACCAGGUCAUGCUGGGCACUCUAGAGGAACUGCCCCGGUCAACGGGGAGGAAGGCGGGGAUGACGUCAAGUCAUCAUGCCCCUUACGUCCUGGGCUACACACGUGCUACAAUGACCGGUACAAAGGGAUGCCACACCGCGAGGUAGAGCUAAACCCAAAAAGCCGGUCUAAGUUCAGAUUGGAGUCUGCAACUCGACUCCAUGAAGGAGGAAUCGCUAGUAAUCGCGUAUCAGCACGACGCGGUGAAUACGUUCCCGGGCCUUGUACACACCGCCCGUCACACCACGAAAGCCCGUUGUACUCGAAGUCGCUGAG
This 460-nucleotide ribosomal RNA is filed under the name uncultured Methylomirabilota bacterium. RNAcentral describes it as "bacterial SSU rRNA". It matches the Rfam family "Bacterial small subunit ribosomal RNA", at positions 977 to 1434 of the family's 1533-position model. Lineage: Bacteria; Methylomirabilota (SeqCode). The record is from RNAcentral.